AAUAUUGCGCAAUGGAGGGAACUCUGACGCAGCGACGCCGCGUGAGCGAUGAAGGUCUUCGGAUCGUAAAGCUCUGUCCUUGGGGAAGAAGGGAGCCGUAAGGCUUCUUGACGGUACCCAUGGAGGAAGCCCCGGCUAACUACGUGCCAGCAGCCGCGGUAAUACGUAGGGGGCAAGCGUUGUCCGGAAUUAUUGGGCGUAAAGGGUGCGUAGGCGGCCCUUUAAGUCAGAUGUGAAAACCCACGGCUUAACCGUGGGACUGCAUUUGAAACUGGAGGGCUUGAGUGUCGGAGAGGGUAGUGGAAUUCCCGGAGUAGCGGUGAAAUGCGUAGAUAUUGGGAAGAACACCAGUAGCGAAGGCGGCUACCUGGUCCGACACUGACGCUGAGGCGCGAAAGCGUGGGGAGCAAAC
Molecule: ribosomal RNA, 412 nt
Filed under: uncultured bacterium
Lineage: Bacteria
Description: partial 16S ribosomal RNA
Rfam family: Bacterial small subunit ribosomal RNA
Source: RNAcentral